GUCUCAAGUCUCAAGUCUCAACAUCAUCGUUCUUUCGGUUCCUCAAUGUCAUUCCAGACUCACCGCUAAAACCUCUGUAUUCUUGAUUGAUCAACGAGAGCUCUCUUGCUGAGUACACUACAUGAUGGAGAAGGAGAGCGAAAGAACCCUUUAUAGUUCGAGGAAUUCUAUUCCUCAGAAGAUGCUGAAUCGUUGGUUGAUUGUGUUGUUCAUGGUGUUUUCGUGCUUUGCUGGGGUAUCCUACGGCAGUGCUGGUGAUGCUGAUCCACUUUACAGGUCUUGUGUGAAUAAUUGCAUAAGCAAUGGAUGUAUUGGUGAGAAGUGCUUUCCACAUUGCAAUAUUACUUUGAAUGGUGAUUCACUCCACAGUCCGUGGUACAUGCAAGAAGCCCUUUACUUGAAGUGGAAACAAUCGGAUUGCCUCGGCGAUUGCCGCUACUAUUGCAUGAUCGAUAGAGAACAAAAAAGGCAAUCACUUGGUCAUGGCCCGGUUAAAUAUCAUGGAAAGUGGCCUUUCAAACGUGUUUUUGGACUUCAGGAACCUGUUUCUGUGGCUCUAUCUAUUUUCAACCUCUUAAUGCAUCUCCGUGGUUGGUUGUCCUUUUACCUUCUGCUCCGAUAUAAGCUUCCACAAAAGCAAAAUAAGACUUAUUAUGAAUACACGACUUUGUGGCAUAUCUAUGGAUUGCUCUCCAUUAAUUCUUGGGUCUGGAGUGCUGUUUUCCACAGUCGAGACAUUGACCUAACGGAGAAGCUCGAUUACUCAUCUGCAGUGGCUGUACUUGGGUAUUCUCUUAUUGUUUCGAUAAUGAGGAGUUUCCAUGUUAGAGAUGAGGCUGCCAGAGUCAUGGUGGCUGCUCCGCUUCUGGCUUUCAUAACUACCCACAUAUUGUACCUGAACAACUAUAAAAUGGAUUAUGGUCGACAUGACACGACACUGACUCCGGUAGGAAUUACGAGUCGGAUCCUCCAAAUUGCACUCAGAUACGACAAAUCCUAGAGUUCGAACACGAAGAGGAGAAGAGAAGAGAACUUACCUCGGCCGCCGGGUGGAGCUUCGAACUCGCUCAGUUUUUCUUCGCUUUUCUGUCUUCUCUUCUUCUGUCUCUUCGAUCUUCUCCUUUUCUUUUUUCUAUUUGUCCUUUAUGGGCCGCAUGAAUUUUGUUUUUUUAUUUUGUCUUAUUUACUCCUUUCCUUCUUCUGUUUUACUUUUCUUGUAAACACACUGCUUUUGGUGGUUGUUCUUUUGAAUAACUACCUUAAUUUUAUUGGUAUAUUAUAAUAAACAAAUAUUAAUUUAAAGUAUUAAUUUAUUUAUUAUAGAAAAUAUUAGUUUUGCAUACCCAUAUUUGUGUCCAAAUCUCGGACAGAGUCCCCAUAUCCUGAUUUUUUCGAAGUGCCUUACCAGACACUCGGAUUCGUACCCAUACCAACACUCAAAGGCGAGUCCAGAUAACAUAGGUUUUGGCUAUGGAAGAAAGUAUGAAGGGGUAGAAACCGUCUUUUAUUUUGCUCGUAUGAUUGAUCUUGGCUAAUACAUGUUUAAGAAGCAGGAAACACACGUAGUGACCUUUUGAAGUGGAGAAAAUGCAACACAAAUAAAAGGAUGGAACAUGCAAGUCUGUGUAGUCAUGGCUGUUGUUCAGCUCCUCACCUGGGCAAUCUGGGCAGGGGUCACUCACCAUCCUUCCCGGUGGAAGUUGUGGUUUGUGGUCGUAGCAGGUGGAUUUGCGAUGCUUUUGGA
This is an RNA transcript of Beta vulgaris subsp. vulgaris (sugar beet), 1744 nucleotides long. RefSeq lists it as uncharacterized. The transcript has 7 exons. The record is from RefSeq and is a predicted model, not a curated record. NCBI's taxonomy places the organism in Eukaryota, Viridiplantae, Streptophyta, Magnoliopsida, Caryophyllales, Amaranthaceae.